GGGAGUCGUCUGCUGAUGAAAACUGGCAGCCUGUCAUACUAUUUGCAAUGGCGCUGCUAUGAUCGACCUGUCAAGUGUGAGAGACAUUCACGUACGUUCCCAAUCCAAGAUGAUUUACCUCGUCUCAGAAAAGGCUGUAACGCCUCAUCCCCUUUAUUCCCCGAGCUGACACAAAGGGAUGGACGAAGAGAAGACAAACCGAAGGGCGGAAGGUCGUCGACGACAGAACCUGACGAAAGUGCUAAUAUUCCCACAGGCUCCCCAAGAAGACGUUGACGACCACAAGACCGCCAGAUGUUAUUUAAGGCCGUCCUGGCCCCGUGUUACUCAU
This is a long non-coding RNA of Dermacentor albipictus, 331 nucleotides long. RefSeq lists it as uncharacterized. The record is from RefSeq and is a predicted model, not a curated record. Lineage: Eukaryota; Metazoa; Arthropoda; Arachnida; Ixodida; Ixodidae.